Molecule: small nucleolar RNA, 76 nt
Organism: Pogona vitticeps (central bearded dragon)
Lineage: Eukaryota; Metazoa; Chordata; Lepidosauria; Squamata; Agamidae
Source: Ensembl
UCUCUUAUGAUGAAUUGCAUGCUCUGUCCGUGUUUCACCUGAACUACACUGAUUACAAACAUGCUCUGAGCAGAGA